UGAAUGGUACUUGGACAUAACUUUUGGGGGCUAGGAAGCAUGAAAAAUGAGGGGAAAUAGUACUCCUAUUUAUAGGGAAAGUAAGUGGGAAAGGGGGUGAAACAAAAUGUACUAUGUGUAAAAAAUAGAGUUACUGUUGUUGUCCUCGCAGGUGUAAUCGAUUAUCAAGGUUGGUGUAAUCGAUUACAUGCACCAAAAAUGGCAUGGGAACCUGAUUUUUGCCAGGUAAUUGAUUACCAAGGUUGGUG
RNAcentral lists this long non-coding RNA (248 nucleotides) under Lathyrus oleraceus (garden pea). RNAcentral describes it as "Pisum sativum (pea) long non-coding RNA (PSAT_LNC008739)". Lineage: Eukaryota; Viridiplantae; Streptophyta; Magnoliopsida; Fabales; Fabaceae. The record is from RNAcentral.